AAUAAUUUUUCGCUCUGAGUUCUUUGGCCUAAGUCUUUUAAAGAUAAGGCUGAUGGACCGGUUCGGGGUAUCAAGGAAACGCGAUACCCUCCUGUGGAAGUUUUGGAAAGGAGCUGAUGACGGAUUCUC
Molecule: non-coding RNA, 129 nt
Filed under: Candidatus Omnitrophota
Lineage: Bacteria; Pseudomonadati
Description: Candidatus Omnitrophica MoCo sequence
Rfam family: Molybdenum/Tungsten riboswitch aptamer (Moco RNA motif)
Source: RNAcentral